UGACAGAUGAAGAAACUGAGCCACAGGGGCUCCUUAACUUGUCUCGGGUGGCACAGACAUCAGCUGUGCCAUCUCAGUCCUGCCAUCUCAGUCCUGCCCCCAGGCCCUCUCAGUCCUGCCCUUGUGCCCUUGCUCCUGAGAGUUUAAGCACCUUCCUUCCUGCAUCCCAGCGACUGCAGCUCUCCUACCUGCUCCCCACAGACCAAGGGAGCCAUGAACAUCAUCUGCCCCUGCAAAAGGGGCUUGAGUUGCUCAUCCAAGGAUGUGAUGUGUCCCCGCCGGUGCCACUUGAUUUAGAGGAGGAUACAGGCUGGUCAAUUUCUUGGGGCCAGAGGCCCUGGCCACCCCCAACUUGCUCCAAAUCCAGCUCCUGAGACAUUAAAGUCACUUUCUGGC
RNAcentral lists this long non-coding RNA (396 nucleotides) under Marmota monax (woodchuck). Lineage: Eukaryota; Metazoa; Chordata; Mammalia; Rodentia; Sciuridae. The record is from RNAcentral.